GACGAACGCUGGCGGCGUGCUUAACACAUGCAAGUCGAACGCUGAAGACCUGGCUUUUGUUGGGUUGGAUGAGUGGCGAACGGGUGAGUAACACGUGAGUAACCUGCCCUCUUCUUUGGGAUAACGCCCGGAAACGGGUGCUAAUACUGGAUAUUCACUGAUCUUCGCAUGGGGGUUGGUGGAAAGGUUUGUUCUGGUGGGGGAUGGGCUCGCGGCCUAUCAGCUUGUUGGUGGGGUGAUGGCCUACCAAGGCUUUGACGGGUAGCCGGCCUGAGAGGGUGACCGGUCACAUUGGGACUGGGAUACGGCCCAGACUCCUACGGGAGGCAGCAGUGGGGAAUAUUGCGCAAUGGGCGAAAGCCUGAUGCAGCGACGCCGCGUGAGGGAUGGAGGCCUUCGGGUUGUAAACCUCUUUCGCUCAUGGUCAAGCCGCAACUGUGGGUUGUGGUGAGGGUAGUGGGUAAAGAAGCGCCGGCUAACUACGUG
RNAcentral lists this ribosomal RNA (486 nucleotides) under uncultured bacterium. RNAcentral describes it as "partial 16S ribosomal RNA". It matches the Rfam family "Bacterial small subunit ribosomal RNA", at positions 28 to 507 of the family's 1533-position model. The record is from RNAcentral.